This 7772-nucleotide long non-coding RNA is filed under the name Panax ginseng (ginseng). Its description in RNAcentral is "long non-coding RNA (PGIN_LNC008551)". Lineage: Eukaryota; Viridiplantae; Streptophyta; Magnoliopsida; Apiales; Araliaceae. The record is from RNAcentral.
UGAGGUGUAGCAAAAAGGAACUAUUUAAGCCCAGCCUUGUCUUAGAAACAUUCCAGCAACCCACAGUGGUGAACUAAAGAGCUGAGGUUGUUUUGUUGUUAACAGUUAGUUAGUCUUGGUUAGCUUGGUUAGUUUGUAUAAUAGACAAAGAACACGUUAGAUAAACUUGCAGAAGAUAAGGUGCAGCAGAUAACCUAGGGUGGCUUGGUAGAAGUUAAAAUGAACUAGACUAGUAUUGAUUGCUCCCAGUUUGGUAGGGAGGCUGGUAGGGGCUGGCAAGGGGCAAAGCUUGGCAUUGACCAGAGAAAGAAAAGUUCAGCUAUUUAAAUUCAUGUCCCACCCCUUAACUGACUUCCCAAGGCUUUAACACCGUAAGAAAGAAAAAGAGAGCCGAUUGAUAGUGAGGUAAGAAGAACUCGGCUAGAGCAGGAAAAAGAAGUGAACAACAAUCAAGUGCAACCUCUAAGCUACUAAGGUAAUCUUUUCCAUCUUCUUUCUAUUCCAUUUCGUGCCAUUGGUGCUCUGUUUUGGCCGAAUGGCCUUGAAUAGACAUAAGGGGCAGUUGUGCUAAUUUUUAUGCUAUGUGUACUGUUGUGAUUUGGAACUGUAAUGUAUCACAUUAUGUUUGUUAUUAUUUAAGUCAUAAGGCUGGGAUCACUAAGCUAAGAAUAAAUGUAUUGUAUGGGUAGAUAUGAACUGCACCCCAAUUGUUUGGUGAAAUGUCAGUUAAUACAUGGUUGGAGUCAACAAUUUUGGAAAAAGAGUGCAGUCAAGUCUAGUUCUAUGCUAAUAAUAUAUAUUGAAUUCCUAAAGAUGCAAAGAUGCUAAGAUAGCAGUUUUGCAUGAACAUAAGAUGUUUAUAACUGAUUGUAUACCAGUCCAUAUAUGAUCUAAGCAUUUAACUAUGACUAAGCCAUUGUUUUAAGGAUUUUGCAUGCCAGACUAAAGGUUGAGAAUGACUGAUUUGGUAUAAGCUAUUCUAUGUCAUCCAAACAUAUACUAUGCAUAAAAAAGAGAUAAUAUAAGCUUCUAUGUUGCACACUUAUGCUACCUUUGUAAGCAUGUUGGUGAACCAUGUUUGUUUUGAAGUUAAAUACCAAAGAAGGCUGUGUUGGCCUAAAACAUAAAGACCAUGACUUAGAUGCUUUAAAACAUGAAAAGUUGGUAGAUAGAAGGUACAUGUGUGAGCAAGGCAUAUAUAUUAGUGCUUGCUACCAUUUGGUGUAAAAGCCUUGCCGAAAAUGCUUGUCUAAAACUGUUAGAAUGGCAAAAACAGUAUGGCUGGGAAGGAAGUACAAAAUGGUGGUUAAACUCUAACAUAAAAUGUAACUAUGCUUCAAGUACACUCUAUGCAUAUGUAUAACAUGUAUUUGUGUAACACUUGAGCAAAACAAAGUGAAAAAGGGACUGCUAUAUGAUUUUCUUGAGUUGAUAUGUAAACUGUUAUAGAUCUAGCUAAAUGACAUGCUAUGUUGCUACCAUGACUGACUAUUAACAUGAUAGGUGUUGAUAUAUUAAGUUAUUGUGUUAAAAAUUCACUACUAUGAUAUGGCUAUGCUAAGAUGAACUAAACUUAGACAUAAGGAGAUAGGUGGGCUGUGGAGUAAUAAGGAGGUCAUAUUGGAUUGUUAAUAUAAACAAAUGGCAGAUAAUUUGCUAACAUAAAACUAUGUACACAACCUGCUUGAUAAAAGUCCCAAAUGGACUCUAUAUUACAUGUAUUGAGGAUUAAAAUGAUUUAGCAUGAUAAUUGCAAGCAAGAGCAUUUGGACUAAAAUAGUGGUUGAAAGUUUUGUUAUUAAAGCAACUUUAGGUACUGUUUUAGGUAUCAUGAUGGAGAUUUUAUAGAUACUUCAAUAAGUCAUGUGUAACAUAUCUAAAAAAAUGGUUGUAAACAAACAUGUGAAUUAAAAGUAAGAAGUUGGAGAACUAGGUGAUUUGGUCACAAAGCUGCUGCCAGUAGCAGCAGCAGUUGGUGUAGGGCCAGAGCUCUUUUCGAGCUCUCAGUUGGCAAGCUAGUAAAUUAAAUGUCAUCUUGAAUUGGCAAAUUCUUUGGGUUUGUAUAGAUUAUGAUAUCUUGUAAGCUAGCCUAGCAAAGGAAAUCUUGGUAAAGCACAAAACAAAUUCUAAACAAAACCAACUGUUAAAAAGUUAGCAUGUUCAACCCCUUUGCACACUGAUUUGAGUCAGACUAUGAAGAACUCAUAAGAAAUUAAUACUUCAUAUGUCAAAGCCAAAAGUGGCUGUCAACAUGAUGAAAGAUAGGGGACUAUUGGAGUACUAAAACAAACUGCUAGACACAGUUAGCCCUUAAUUACACUAUAGUAUAGUGAAGUUUUGAACCUUAGCACAUGAUAGUUUUGGCUAAAUUUGGUAGUAAGAAUCCUAGCUUAAUCAUUCCCUUGGUCCACUGUGUUGAGUAAUGGCUGAACCAGAGAGUCAAGUUUAAUAUCAUUUGAGAAGCCAAGGACUGCUAUAAUAAGGUAGCAAUGAGUAGUAAAUAUAGCAGUAGUACCAACCUUAAUCAAAUAGCAGCUGUCAUUGGCAACAGAAAUCAAGUAAUUGCAGUGCCAUAUUGACAACUAAGUAACCUUGCUGGCUUUCAUUUUUAUUGUGCUUUGAGUAAGUUAAGAAGUAGCAAGGUUUGAAGAUUAUCAUAUUGAGUUGUCAUUCAAGUAUAGUAACUGUUACCAAUAAACAAUAAGCAGUUGGUCUUCUCUUAACAGACCAAUAUGGUAAAACUACAAGAUUCCAGCUGUGAAUUAACUUGGGACAUAAUCAAAGGGGAGUCAUGGAGCUGCUAGGACAGUUUGGAAGCUAUAAUCUAAACAAGGCCAAAAGGAAGGGGGGCUACUACCUAUGAACAACAACAGUUGAUGGCAGGUUACUGCUAAUAUACUCUAUGUAACCACUUUGGUUGAGAAUUGAAAUCUUCAAGAAACUAAUCAUCAUGUGUAACUUGAGUAUGUGUGCUGAAAACAUAUAUACUACAUUUACAAGUUGAGAAUAAAAAUGUGAUAAAGAGGGAAGCAUAGGGCUGCUAACAGUUAGUUGCAAUAGGUAACCUCAACUAACUGCUAAUGCAGUGUUGAGCUUAUUAGACCUAGUUGAAGCUACAAGAGGGUGAACUUAUAUGAAUUAGAUAUAAUUCAAGUGUUGGAAUGAACUGAAGUGGCUAGAAAUAGUAAAUGUAAUUUGAUUUUUAAUACUUGUGGUAGGCAUGUUGAACCCCAUCAAAGUGAAAAAUGACUAGUGUGAAAGUAUGGAUGAGAUAUUUAAAAAAUGUAUCAAAUAUAGGAAAUCUAACCAUGAUCACUAAAAUUACAUGAUAUAUGAUUUGACUAUGUGGCUAACAUGCUUUAUUAAUGCAAAUAAUAAUAAUUUAAUUCCUAUUAUUUGAUUGUAAGUAUGUCUAACCCAUUAAAGAGAAGAUUGACUAAUACGUAAACAUGGAUGAGAUAUUUGAAAAUUGUAUGAAAUUAAGGAAUCUAACUACAAACUUGACCACUGAAUUAUGUGAUGUGUGAAUCUCCACAAACUAUGUGACUUGGCUAUUUGGCUAAUAGGCUUGUAAAUGCAAAUAAAUUGUGUAGGCUCUGUGAGAACAUAUUAAGCUAAAUCCUAUCAAUAGUCUACAAACAAGGCAAGUUUCUAACUCUUACUCUUUAUUGAGAAAUUAUUCUGCAGUGGACAUGUUCUUUAAUUUCUGAACUUUCUGUCCUUAUUUAUGAAUAAUAUAAGGUUAAAUAGCCUUUUUAUUCCAAUCAGCUUCAAAAAAAUAGAAUACCAACUUUUCUAUCUUGAAUGAGUUUACAUUGAAAGUAUGUCAAUACCAUUACUUCGGUUAGACAAUCGUUGAGAUAUAUUGAUAUUAUUCAUGAAGUUAUCAGUUAAUGCUUUCCAAACCAUUUUGUUGUAUGGAUUCUUAUAUAAUGCUGUGAACGAACAACCCUUUUAUAGUGGAAUAUUGUACCGGACAUAUGAUUCCGAAGGACAUGUAAAGUGUCAUUAGACUCUUAUGUUGUGCACAAUAUAGGGUACUUAGGCGGAUCCCCUAAAGUACGACUCUAUGAAAUAAAACAAAUUUUAUAAAUUGUAUAUAUCCAUGGAGUUUAGUAUUAUUACUAUCAAUUCUAGUAAAGAGUUCACUGGUCAUUUGACCUUACAGCAUGCUAAAGUCUAAUUUUUCAGACUCAACACUUUUAAAGAAUUAUCUUGUUCAGUAUUUAUUAUUGAAUCCUCAUUGAUAUAAUAUUUCUGUUCCAUUAUAUUUAGCUGCUUAUUUCCUUGCUGAGCAAGCUUGUUGCUCACCCUUGCGUUAAAUAUAAUGUUUUCAGUUAUGAAUGAAGUUGUUGGUCCAUUGGUAAAGACAAAGGAAAAGGCAAAGUUGUGGAAUAGUCUUUUAUUAAGCGCAUGUGCUUAUUUAAGUAGUAAAUGUAUUAAAUAUUGUUAGUACUAUGUUGUGUAAUGAUAUUUGAUUCGUAAGUUAUGUAAAGGUCUAUAGAACCUGGGAUAUAAGUUAUGUAAUAUAAGACAGCUUUCUUUUAAUAUGAAUGGGUAUAUUAGUAUCGUGAGAACCAAACUCGAGUUAAAGAUAACCCGAAUUUGGGGGCGUCACAGGUUGGUAUCAAAGUUGUAGGUUAUAAACCUUAGGUAGGUGUACCUUAGGCUAUAACCGCAGAGAUGAUGAUAAGGAAUAAACUCAAAUAGAGUUUAAUUUGUUACUCAAAUAGAGUUUAAUUUGUUAAGAGAUGGAUUUGGAAAAUUCAUUAUUAAGUAAAUAAGAUUCAAAGAAUAAUCUGGAAAAGUUAUAAAGAUCCAGAGUUACCUAACUCUGAUGUUAAAGACAAAGAGUAAUAAUGAAUAGAUAGAGUCUAUAAGACUAAAAGUAUAAAGGGAAAGGAGAUCGUAAAACAAAACGAUCAUAAGAUAGAAGAGAAUUGUAAUAUAACAUGAUUAUAAGAUAAGAUCACGACGUGGUCAGAUUGAAUACCAGAAAAUCUAUGAAAUGAUUGGAAAGAUAUAGCUUGACGCUAUAAAGAAAAUGUACUAUGAAAUGGUACUAUGAAAACUUAGAAAAGAGUUGUAGAUGAUGAGAUACAGAUUAAAUAAAAUUCGUAUCGAGUAAGGGGAAGCUAGCAUUGGGUGGGAUUUCAAUUGAGAACUCAUAUCAGCAGCUAAGUUGUAUGAUUCUUUGUAUGGGUGGGGAAUUUUACUUGGUGUAACAACCACUUAGCUUCUGGUAGUGAUAAUCAUUGAAAUGUUUGUGUCGCGUUAUUCGCUAUAUACCUGUUGAGAAGGUGAUUCUUUUCUAAUGUGUAUAACGGAUAGAUAGAGAAUAUAAGAUUAGGUUAGAUGAUAUUAAGAUUAGGUACGGUUCUUAAAACUAAUGCAUAUAGUAAGUUCGUGACUCAUAAUCAUAUAGUAUGUUUUGAACCCCUCAGUGAAUGGACGCCUAUGGUCUGACUAGGAUAAGUUUCUAAACUCAUAUGAUUAUGGCAAGUUCCUGGAUUUCCAAAGUGUGGUAAGUUUAAUGAACUGGGGUAUAACUAAGUGUGAAUGGAGUAUUGAGGAUGAUAAGAAUAGAUGGACUUAUUAAGCAAUGGAUCAUUAGAGAAAUUGAAGUUGAUGAUGGAAGCAUAUGUAUUCCAAAUCUUCUAGCUAUGCUAGACUUCAAAAUUUUUGACAUCAAGCUAAAUUCGCACUAUGUGCCUUUUUAAAAAUAAUUUUUUAUUCUCAACGCAUGGUGACAAAUGUGUAUGUGUGGACUUCGGGACACUGAUACAUCGUUACCUGUUGAGAUAUGAUAGCACUAAAACUGAUUUUCAAAGAAUUUUGAAGUGUUUAAAGAAUAGUCUAUGCUAAUUACUUCGGCUAGACAAAAAUGAUUUGAAAUAUAUCAAAAUGUAUUUUAGAUAUCAUCAAUGCAUCAUGGAACCUGGUGCAGAGAUGAUAAAAAUGAUGGAGUCAUCAAUGCAGUAUUACUUAGUGUUGGAUGUGAUCUAAGGAUCGUCAGCCCACUAUGGUAUGAUGUAGUAUGAUAAAAUCGCCAAAUGACGAAAUCCUCAAACAUAUUGUAAAUACAGUGCGGUAUCAUAACGUCAUAAAAUGAUUUUCAGAAUUUUAAACGAGUUAAAGAAAAGUCAUUGCCAAUUAUAAUGGCUAGACAAAUGUUUCGAUUGAUGUUCGAAUUAUUGAUAUGCGUCUAAGCUUAUUGAUUCAGCUAGACAAAUGUUUAUGAAAAUUCAAAUAUUUCUUCUAGAAUUUAUCCCGAACCAAAUUGUUUUGGUACGGAAUCUUGUGCUAAGUCUGAGGUGAAAAACCCCGAUUGGAUAGAAUAAUCCAAUCUAGUAGCGCAAAUAGUCGCUAAACAAGGAAUGAUACGUUGUGCACGACGUAGGGUACGAUAGGCUGAUCACCUAACGUACUCGUAUCUGUACUAGGCUGAUCACCUAGUACAAUAUGUUUACAGAAUUGGUUGCGGUGAAUACCGUUAAAACUGAGAGUUCAUGGUCUAUAUGACCCCUGAACAUAAUAUGUAAAGUUUUUAACUUCCUAACAGAGGGUAGAAAUGGUUGAAUGAGAUGAUAGAAGACAAAUCUUCAGAGGUGGAAAAUAUAAAUGUUAAAUUGAAAACCUAUUUUCGGUGAAUAGGAGAAGCAAAGAUUAGUAUACUGUAAUUUCGGGGACGAAAUUCUUAGAAGAAGGGGUGAUUGUGACAACCCGAAAAUUUAGAAGAUCUUGAAUGAUUAAAUUAAAGGUUAAAGUUUAAAACCUAGAGUGAAAAUAGAUGAUUUAAAAUUUUUAAGAAAAAUCUAAGAAAAUGGUAUGCUGAAAUAAUUCAACGAUAAGGUUACGAGAAAAGAUGUAAACCGAUUAAGAAUGAUUCGAUAUUGUGACUUCGGGGACGGAAAAGAAUGUGAUAACCCAAAUUUUGGGUAAUAAAUAAAAUUCUUAUUAGAUAAUAUGUUGUAUGAUAUUAUAACACAUAUGUGGGUAUGACCUAUGCAAUAUGUGAUGUUUAUGCUUAAUAAAUAUAUUGGUAUUAUAUAUUUAUUAUAUGUAAAUAAAUUGUAGUGGUAAUUUAAUCAAGAAAAUGAGAUGGGUAUAAUUAAAAUAAUUUAUAAUAUUAAAUUAUUUUAAUGUGGUGAAUUGGUGAUAUUAAAUAUAUACUUAAUGUAUGACCACCCUUUUAUUAGGAGGGGCUAUUGCUUAUUUUGUAUAUGAUGUAAGCCCACCUUAAAUCUAAUCCUUGCCUUGUUACUAAGCCUAUCGCGCAGCCCAUAUGAUGUGUAGCAAAAAGGAACUGUUUAAGCCCAGCCUUGUCUUAGAAACAUUCCAGCAACCCAUAGUGGUGAACUAAAGAGCUGAGGUUGUUUUGUUGUUAACAGUUAGUUAGUCUUGGUUAGCUUGGUUAGUUUGUAUAACAGACAAAGAACACGUUAGAUAAACUUGCAGAAGAUUAGGUGUAGCAGACAACCUAGGGUGGCUGGGUAGAAGUUAAAAUGAACUAGACUAGUAUUGAUUGCUCCCAGCUUGGUAGGGAGGCUGCUGGUAGGGGCCAGCUAGGGGCAAAGCUUAGCAUGACCAGAGAAAGAAAAGUUCAGCUAUUUAACUUCAUGUCCGACCCCUUAACUGACUUCCCAAGGCUUUAACACCGUAAGAAAGAAAAAGAGAGCCGAUUGAUAGUGAGGUAAGAAGAACUCGGCUAGAGCAGGAAAAAGAAGUGAACAGCAAUCAAGUGCAACCUCUAAGCUACUAAGGUAAUCUUU